RNAcentral lists this non-coding RNA (30 nucleotides) under Mus musculus (house mouse). Lineage: Eukaryota; Metazoa; Chordata; Mammalia; Rodentia; Muridae. The record is from RNAcentral.
UACACCUGAGAAUUGCCAGCUAGAAACGGU